Cucurbita moschata (crookneck pumpkin) is the source of this 2435-nucleotide RNA transcript. It is a transcript of the gene named long-chain-alcohol oxidase FAO1-like, with no coding region annotated. The transcript has 5 exons. Lineage: Eukaryota; Viridiplantae; Streptophyta; Magnoliopsida; Cucurbitales; Cucurbitaceae. The record is from RefSeq and is a predicted model, not a curated record.
CAUAUUCAAUCAAUCUACAGAGCGACGAUGCGGAGACUGGAGUGCCAUCCCCUGUUGAGAGGAACAAGGAGCGGCAAGUUCACGCAUGGCUUCUCCGUGGCGGAGAUGGAGUCUUUAGCCACCAUCUGCGACACUAUCUUGCCUCCUCUGCCGCUCGGUUCAUCAAACAACAACGGCAGCGAUGAGAUCGAUACUGCCGACGCGGCCGCAAUCGAGGCGUUUUACGCGGCGUCCGGUUCGCGAUCUCCGAUUCCGGAUGAGGUUGCAGAGACAGUCGCGAAAAGAGGAUUGACUGAACUCGUGAUACUGGUGCGGAUGGUGCUGUGGUUGCUAGGUACGAGGCUAGGGACGUUGCUGCUCUGUGGAUCGCUCUGUUUUUGCAGGAAAUGGCCUUAUAUCUGCAAUUUCUCGAGCAUGCCAUUGGAGAACAGAGAGGAAGCUUUGAGGAGAUGGUAUAAGAAUAAGGUUUUCACGCCCAUUAGAGCUGCUCUUGCUUCCAUCAGAGUUCUUGUCCUCUAUACCUUCUUUUCUAGGGUUGAUGUCAAUGGCGGCUUCCCUGCUUGGGAAGCCAUAAAAUACCGGCCGGAUAUUGAGGAGAAUCGGUCCAAAUCCUCCGAUGAGAGGCCUCUCCAGAAGGGAAUCAUAGAACCCAACAACGAAACAGAAUCAUCCUUUCAAAAAUCCCUCUUACAGAAGGGUCUCAGAGUCACUGGAGACGACGGCGACACCCUUUCCAUCCAAUGUGAUGUGGUGGUUGUUGGGUCCGGUUGCGGCGGAGGCGUUGCGGCGGCGGUUCUCGCAAGUUCCGGCCAGAAAGUGGUGGUUCUCGAAAAAGGGAAUUAUUUUACUGCAUCUGAUUAUUCAUCUCUUGAAGGCCCUUCCCUCAAUCAACUGUACGAAGCCGGUGGGAUUUUCACAAGUGAUGAUGGGAAAAUGUUGAUUCUGGCAGGUUCAACCGUCGGCGGUGGCUCCGCCGUUAAUUGGUCGGCGAGCAUCAGAACCCCAAAUCACGUUUUGCAGGAAUGGGCUGAGAGCCACAAGAUUCCGUUCUUUGGAACCUCUGAAUAUCAAAUCGCAAUGGAUGCUGUGUGCAAGAGACUUGGGGUUUCAGAAGACUGUGAUGAAGAGGGGUUUCAGAAUCAAGUUCUUCGAAAAGGGUGUGAAAAUUUGGGGCUUAAAGUUGAAAAAGUACCAAGAAAUUCCCCAAGCGGUCAUUAUUGUGGAUCCUGCGGCUAUGGUUGUAGAAGGGGGGAGAAACAAGGGACUGAUUCUACUUGGCUCGUUGAUGCUGUGAAUCAUGGGGCAGUGAUCAUAACAAAUUGUAAGGCUGAGAGAUUCAUAUUGGAAAGGAACAAAACUGGAAGUGUGAGGAAGAGCAAGUGCUUGGGAGUGCUUGCAAAUGUUUGGAGUGACAACUUUACCAAGAAACUGCAAAUCAAAGCCAAAGCUACCAUCUCAGCUUGUGGGGCUCUUUUGACACCGCCAGUGAUGAUAUCAAGUGGGCUGAGGAACAAACACAUUGGCAGAAAUCUUCAUCUUCACCCUGUUUUGAUGGCUUGGGGAUACUUUCCAGACUCAAAUUCAGAGUUCAAGGGAAAAUCCUACGAGGGGGGAAUAAUCACAUCACUCCACAAGGUUACCUCUGAAGGAUCCGAAUCAAAUUCUAAAACCAUCAUAGAGACUCCUUUAUUAGGACCAGGAUCAUUCUCUGUGUUGUUUCCUUGGAUAUCUGGACUUGACACUAAGCAAAGAAUGCUCAAGUAUUCGAGAAUUUCCCAUUUGAUAACAAUCGUCCGGGAUUCGGGAUCCGGGGCGGUAAGAUCAGAGGGAAGGGUGAGCUUCAAUUUGAGUGAAGAAGACAGGGAAAACCUCAAGAGGGGGUUAAGACAGUCGUUGAGGAUUUUGGUAGCUGCAGGAGCUACUGAAGUUGGCACACAUAGGAGUGAUGGACAGAGACUUGAAUGUAAAGGGAUUGGGAAGGAGGAAUUGGAUGAGUUUUUGGAUACGAUAUCCGUAGAGGGAGGGCCACUAUCACUGACAGAAAAUUGGAAUAUCUAUACCUCAGCUCAUCAGAUGGGGAGCUGCAAAAUGGGGGUUUCUGAAAAAGACGGCGCUGUCAAUGAAAAUGGAGAGAGCUGGGAAGCUGAAGGGCUUUUUGUUUGUGAUGCAAGUGUUCUUCCAACUGCUGUUGGUGUCAAUCCCAUGAUUACUAUCCAAUCCACUGCUUACUGUAUCUCGAACAGAUUAGCCGCAUUGUUACUGAAAUUCAAGCAAAGGUAGGAGAAGAAAGUGCUCCCAAAUUGGUGUUCAUUGUUUUGAAUUUCAAUCUCCAAGAUAGAACUCACAAUUGACAGGUAGUAGAUGCCUUUGCUCUUCAAGAUGAGUUCGUCUCGAAGCCAUGGAUUUCGAGAUUUCGGGUUGAGAAUUCCCCAGUC